This 2005-nucleotide long non-coding RNA is filed under the name Bemisia tabaci. Its description in RNAcentral is "lncRNA ENSSSA3NGG009273". Lineage: Eukaryota; Metazoa; Arthropoda; Insecta; Hemiptera; Aleyrodidae. The record is from RNAcentral.
ACCCUGUCUUUCUCGGAGGUUCGAAACGUCACUUUUUUGAAAAUGCUUAAACUUCAAAAAUUCAUAUCUCAGUGAGUUUUUCGAUUUGAGGCCUAAUAUUUUGCAGAAGUUCAUUAUUUGGUGGUCUGAUCAAGAAAAAAUUUAUCAUCAAAAUCCGAGUCGGGCGGUUGCAUGGCUGGUAGGUUCUAUAUGAAUGACCCCAUCAUUGACUUUUAUUUUGGCAGGCCCCUUGAAGAAACAAGAAAUUGAAGGAAAAAUUUGAUGCAAUUUUUGAUUCAACAAAAUACAAUAAAUGUCUUGAAGACACAAGACUGAAGAGAAAAAAUAUGAUACAUGGUAAGCAGCUGUUUGUUUUUGUCAGUUUUUUUGAAUUUUGGUAAUGUUACAGGGUGUAAAAAAACCAAGAACAGCCAAAGAAAUCUAUGUUUUUAAAUCAAAUCUGUUAAAGGUACCAAAUGAUCAUAACUUACAGUUAUUUUCCCAAAAUUUACAAUUACAGCAACCAGCAAACUUUUUUCAAAAAUGCAAAAAUUUAGGUAAAAAAGGAAAGUGAAAGGUCAUCAUUUUUUUAAAUAGGGGAGAAAUUUUGUGGAAAGCCAACGGAAAAAAUAUGGAAAGCCGGUGGCCAGGCGCAUGAGAAUGUGGAAGCUUGGAAGUUUCUGCUUUUUUCCCUGUAUAAGAUGGGAGCAAACAUUUUAGAACACCACAAACAAGAUACCUAGUUUGGGAGAUUCACCAUCAAUAUGUAAGUCUAGCGUGAAUUUUUAUUUGUUUAUUCUGACUCCCAACAGAUGUGAAUAUAAAAAAAGUAAUCUGGUCUACCUGAAGCAGUUCCAGAAUGAUGCUAUCGACAAGCAGAGAGCUCUAGAUGAAACCAAAGCCAAGUUGGUUCAAACCCAAACUGAGAUCGUGGACUUGCAGGAAAAAGAGAAGCCAAUUCAAGAAAAACUCAUUGAGCUGAAAGAACAGGAAAGAAAUGCUACAUCUUUGAACACUAAGAUUGAAGGCAUCAAAGGCAGGUUAAAAGAACUGCUGAAGAGCAAGGACCAUCUCAACAAACUAAUAAUUAAUCGCUUUGAAGGCACGGAUGAGGAACUUCAAGCUGCCAUUGAUUCUUUUGAUGAAGAUCACAGAGUGAAGAAAGAUGAACUAAAACAACUUGAGCCUGAAAAGUCAGAGCUGUUGAAAGAGCAAAAAAAACUAGACAAAGACAUCAGCAAAAAGACAACCAAGUAGGCCAGCUGAGUAAUGCUGAAGAUCAGCACAAGAGUACAAUUGCAAAAUGUAACCAUGAAAUAAACAAUUUGGGGAAAAAACUGGAAUUAGAGGGUAAGUAAUUUUCUUAUAGUGUUUUCUCAGCAAUUCUUCAUGGCAAACUAUGUCCAUUGUACUCACAUAUUGUACGCGGCAGGCAGAGUUAAGUUGUGAGGAACUAAAUUUCAGAAGGAAUUAGAGGAGUCCUACAGGUACAUGGGUUGGUAAGACUCCUACCAACCCAUGUACCUGUAGGAAAAACAGUAUAGUAAGACUCCUAUGGUAGGAGUCUUACUGUACUGUUUUUAACUGACGAUUAACUAAUUUCAUGUUCUCUUGAGUCUAUUAUAAAAAUUUCCAAAACAUUUCAUCGUGUAAUUUUACUGUAUCAAAUUUCACAGACUUUUGUAUAUCUUUGUUCAAUCAUUCAAAUGUUUUAACAUAUUCACUGUGGAGAAAAGUUAUUACUAUUUGCUUGGUCAUAAAGAUAAGCCAGAUCACAUACAGAAUUUGAACCUAUUUUUUUACAAUGGAUUCUUUGAAAGCAGGGGAUGAAAUGAUCUCCCUGAAAUUUUUUCCAGUUCGAUUGAAAUUGAGAACAUGUAUCUAUAUGCAUUUUGAAUCUGAAUUUACGUUUGCGCAGUACCACUCAGCACAUCAUGACGUCACCUAACAGCACUUGGCCAUCAGUCUUUUGAAGCUCCAUUGCGUUUAGUGAAAUUUGUGCUGUGGUGACAUGCAUUUUUCGGCC